Molecule: long non-coding RNA, 1923 nt
Filed under: Helianthus annuus (common sunflower)
Lineage: Eukaryota; Viridiplantae; Streptophyta; Magnoliopsida; Asterales; Asteraceae
Description: hypothetical non coding rna
Source: RNAcentral
GAAGACGCCACCAUCUGGAGUCCCCCAAAACCCACAUGCCAGUGUAAACCACCACCACACCACCGGAGACGCUCCGACCACCACCACGCCACCGGAGAUGCUCCGACCACCACCUUUAACCCCUUCACGCCACCCGAGAAGACCACCAUCUGCAACCUAUUCUAUGUAUAGGGUCGCUCCAUUUGCAAGGCAGUGAAUGGCAAAAUAACCGUGUGCGUUUUCUCAUCAGCUUCGUCGCCAUAGGUAAUACUAUGUCUCGUGUUGUUUCUCAUCACCAAAGGUUCUACUUCAGACUUUGAAUUUACAUUCGUGUGCAUGUUCUACGGUUACUCAGUUUGUGGCCUUGUAUUUUGUUUGUUUUUUUUUUUAUUCAAAUAUAGACACAUCAGAAUGUUUAAUUUUGUAGUCUUAAUAGAUAUAAUGGGUUUUGUGGGAUCUAGGGUUCUAAAUCGAAUUGUGUUUGUUGGAAUUCAGAUUUGGUCUCUUUAAUGUUGGUGCCCUAAAUUUACUUUUGGGGUUUGAAACAAAGCAUUGUAGUUAUUUGUCUAUAAAUUACUAAGGACCGUAUUUAUUAUAAUAUGUGUUUUAAUUUUUGGUGAGGCUGAUUGAUGCGGGAAUAUCAAGUGUCGACUCAAUUAUGUAAUGACAUAAAUCCACAUUUAGUGUUCAUUAUGUUUUGUUUUAAUUUAUGUCCAUUGAGUUGAUCAUAAAAACUCUAUAUAAGUUCUCAUGUAAUUUGUAUUGGGGAUAGUUUUUGAGUUUUAUAAAAUAAUUGUUUUACUUUUUCUAAAUUCUUGUCUUUUGGGGGACGAAUUUGGGGGUUUGGGAAAAGAUCUUCGCGGGUAUUCUUAGAAUCAACGUGUUUGAUCUUCAUUUUCGUAUCACACGCUACAUCACUGAUGAAUGGUGUCUAGAGGUGGAAGUACCAUAUUUGACUUUAAACUCUAUGAAAGUUGCUUAACCUUGUGUUAGAGGUGGAAGUAUAAUUUUUUGAACAUGUACUAUAUACCUAUGUUUUUUUUCUUCUGGUUUAAUUUGAUUUACAGUCGGGUUUCUAUUUUCUUUGUGAGAUGGAACAUAUAUAAUCUUAUGACCCAAUUCAUGUUCAAGUUAUUGAGAACAUCAGUUUCAGUUCCAAAUGUUUUCUUUUUAAUUUAAAUGAAUGUGACCACACGGUUUAAGGCAGAGCUACUAUAUGAGGUACGGUGUCACACGACACCUUUGAUUUUUGAAAUUUAUAUAGUAUAUGUGGACAGUGGCUAGUUUGUGGUUUGAUUCUCCUGGUGUCCACUUUGGUGAUAUGUUUCAGGUCCCGGGUGUUCUUCAGUGGGAUAUGGAGCUACGCAAGAGAUUGGGCCAUUCAUUGUGGGCACAUAUGGAAAUGAUAUUCAGUUAAAUCCUUACUCGUGGAAUAGAGAAGCCAUUAUGUUGUUCCUGGAAUCUCCUGUUGGACUUGGCUAUUCCUACUCCAACACAACUAGUGAUUAUGAAAACCUAGGAGACGACUCCACUGGAGGUUAAGGAAUUUUACCUUGCAAGGACCAAUCCCCAAUCUUAGCAGGAUACCAAAUCUUGAUUUCACCACAAUUGAUUUAUUGCCAUUUUCCAGCUCAAAACCUGGGAACCUCUACUAUCAUCUUAGAAAGUAUUUGAUGUAAAUGAGCCCUUUCUACCACCUCAAAGACCUUUACUUCUUAACUUAACUUUAGUUCAAGUUAUCCGACUAAGUUUGGAAAGUAUUUGACUAGUAUCUGAUGAAGAAGCGGAUGAUGACACGGAUAUGAUGUACAAUUAUUACAUUUUACAUGUUAGGUAGUUUUAUGACGUGUUUGUGAAUUGUGACUUAAAACGAACCCGGAUUGUGACGUUUAUGCUUAUUAGUUUAUAUUUAUUUAGUUUUUGUGUGUUUAUCAAAUUGAACAC